GGCGACGUGGCCAAGUGGCAAGGCAGGGGUCUGCAAAACCCCAACCGGCGGUUCGAAUCCGCCCGUCGCCUCCA
This 74-nucleotide transfer RNA is filed under the name Chloroflexota bacterium. Its description in RNAcentral is "Chloroflexi bacterium (sediment metagenome) tRNA-Cys". It matches the Rfam family "tRNA". Rfam says of the family: Transfer RNA (tRNA) molecules are approximately 80 nucleotides in length. Lineage: Bacteria; Bacillati; Chloroflexota. The record is from RNAcentral.